This 253-nucleotide ribosomal RNA is filed under the name uncultured bacterium. Its description in RNAcentral is "partial 16S ribosomal RNA". It matches the Rfam family "Bacterial small subunit ribosomal RNA", at positions 524 to 776 of the family's 1533-position model. The record is from RNAcentral.
UACAGAGGGUGCGAGCGUUGUCCGGAAUCACUGGGCGUAAAGGGCGCGUAGGCGGCCUGAUAAGUCGGGGGUGAAAUCCUGUGGCUUAACCACAGGGCUGCCUCCGAGACUGUCGGGCUCGAGCACAGUAGAGGCAGGUGGAAUUCCCGGUGUAGCGGUGGAAUGCGUAGAGAUCGGGAAGAACAUCGGUGGCGAAGGCGGCCUGCUGGGCUGUUGCUGACGCUGAGGCGCGAAAGCGUGGGGAGCGAACAGG